CGGUGGUCUUCUAUCUAGUAUCUACGUACACAAACGAAAGCUUGUACCACGCAUUAGAAAUCCAAACGGUUUGCAGUGGAGGCCGUUAAAGUCGAGUUGUACAGAACCACAGACGUCUACUAAACCACUAAAAAGAAAAGAAACACCCGAAUAGACUACUUUAAAUGACGAUUAAUCUAGCACGUGACUGCGACGGUGGUCUUCUAUCUAGUAUCUACGUACACAAACGAAAGUUUGUACCACGCAUUAGAAAUCCAAACGGUUUACAGUAGAGGCCGUUAAAGUCGAGUUGUACAGAACCAAAGACGUAAGACUCAAAUCUCAAGAUGUAUCACCUUACCAAUCAUAUACCCUCAAACGUAGAUGUCAACGUAUGACAUCAAGGUAAGGCAGGAAGGAAUAAGUCUCUACUUGACUUGGAGAUUAAAAAGUACAUGAAAACACACUAACACACUUUCACUCCACCUUGACUGAUAAAGCCCCCCUUUAGUUUUCUAUGGUGUAAUCAUAUCAUCUUGCAUGAUGAACGAGAAUUCUAAAGUCUUUACUGUACAGUUCCUGUCCCAUAUCUCUAGGCUUCUCAUAAGAGGAAGGCAGUAGCCAACAAUUUAAUCAUUGCGGGUCGUAGCACACGCUACCUCGGGAAUGGCGACAAGUGUUGACUUGAGAAAUAAAAUAAAAUUAGGAAGCCUAAACAGCCCAGUCCCUAGGAAGUCAAAACAACCUAGUCCUUCAUUCUCGUGGCCCUGAAGUUCCUGCUACAUCUAACAGCUUCCGUUUCAACGUCUCACGUACCCGUCGUCAUGGUCACGUUCUUGGAGCGCGUACUGCCUCGACGACACCAUCUCUUCGUUUUGGGUUGCUGAUUGAGAUGUUCGAGACCAGCGACAGAAUUUGUAGUGAUUGCAUUAGUAUAGAGUAAGGUAAUACGUUUAAAAUAAAGACUAAAAAAAAUAAGAUAAAGUCAUGAACAUGGAAAAAUGUUACGCAAAUCACGUAUACUUACUUCAUAUAACUAAAUAGAAGAUGGAUACCAAAAGACACGAAAUAACCACGAGUUGCAAAAACUGUACAACCGUACGUAUAAUGAUUUAAACCAGUUCGUUGGGCGGUUGUUUAUGUUUCUUCCCGAUAUACAGAAGACUAGCAGAACUACCGUAUAUACUCCUGGACGUUAUGACUUGGACCUUCAAUCAGCAACUCCGUCACCAGUACCAUCACUAUAGAUGACGGUCUUGUAUUUGCAAACCGGGAGGAACAACGGUGCUUCCUAAUACUAGAUGACCUAAAUGUCUUGGUCAAUUACCGUACUACGACCGUCAUCAUUACCUCCCAACACUAAAGACCUACCUUAUCCUGCCUAACCGCAGGAGAAGAGUGCUUUGUGUGACUGUGUUUUAAAGACCAAAGACUGCAUGUUCCUAAUAAAUGAUACUUGUUUAUAACGUUACAAGUAAGCAUCAUGACAAACAACUCCGCUACGGAGAGGAUGUCCAUACUUUAAUAGCAACCCGGAAGUUGAUAAAAAUAAACUACAUAUACUAAGGUUUGUGAUGAACAAGGUCAUGAUGUAUAACCUGUUUUUGUUAAAGGAAUAUACGAUCUUGUGCUGUACCGAUUAAUCAUUAACGUGAUGUAAGGAUUAUUGACAAUUUGAAAACCCUCCGUACCGUUACAAGAAGUUGGUACUAAUUCAAGUAUAUAUUAAUCUGUGAAGUUUAUCUUACAGGACACUGUGUUGAGUGGAACCAUUGAUACGAUGUUUCACAGACUUGGACGUAAAAUAUAGUCCUACUAUUUUAAAGUGGUUAGAUAGUAGCAAGUGUGAUUUAACUUGAACCCUCACAAUUUUUGGCGGCAGUGAUUAAAUCGAUUGGCGAGUGGUCAUCCAUUAGAUCGAUUAGCGAGUGGUUCAUUCAUUAGAAAUUAGACUUCAACAUAUAACUGACAUCCCGUUAUUGUUGGGUCAAAAGUUGUCGCGUUUUAUGACUUUACGACGAUUAAAUUCUUAACUUCUCUAACGGAAAAGUAAAACAUUUUAGAAGGACAAGGUAACACGGUAGACUUCACUGGUUCGUACUAGAAACUAACCGGUACAUACUACGUCGCCUCAGUAAAAUAAUUCGACCGUAAUCAUCAAAACGUAAAAUGUACUAAACACACGUUCAAACUUGCAGACAGCUUAUUAUAAUUAAUAUUAUGACUUUGUCAGACAAUAACAACAAUAGAAGAACCCUCAUGAACUCUUCCGCGCUUCUCCUUCCACCCCUGUGCGGUACCGUCUCCGGUCACGGCUUAGAUGCAGACGACCGUCUCCGCGCACCAACUGUCCUCCUCGGCCCCUCCGUACUGCCACCUGUACACCUACAAUAGCACCGUAACUGUGUAAAGCGGGAUGGUUGUGACGUAUGGUUGCACUGACUUACAAUAGCACCGAAUCUACGGGAUAGUUUAAGAACGAACUGAAAAACCAAAACAUACGAGCCUACAUACAAAGUCAAGGAUGUACCAUAAAGAGUACACCUCAACUUUGGUGUAAACCAACCAGGUUAUCAUUUAUUAGUAUACAAAGUGAGAUUUUAGUAUAACGUAUAUCUCACUACAAUGCAAGAACACGUUUAAUG
Molecule: ribosomal RNA, 2624 nt
Filed under: Triticum aestivum (bread wheat)
Lineage: Eukaryota; Viridiplantae; Streptophyta; Magnoliopsida; Poales; Poaceae
Description: partial small subunit ribosomal RNA
Source: RNAcentral